Non-coding RNA from Monodelphis domestica (gray short-tailed opossum), 1228 nucleotides. NCBI's taxonomy places the organism in Eukaryota, Metazoa, Chordata, Mammalia, Didelphimorphia, Didelphidae. The record is from RefSeq and is a predicted model, not a curated record.
GGAAUAGGCAAAAGGGAACCAUUAAAGGAAAGGGAGGGGAGAAUGGAAGAGACUGGGAGAGAGAAACUAAUUAGUAAUCCAGGAGGGGUGAUGAUGAUGGCCUUCCCUAAGCUCAGGACCCUGAUUCUUACUUUACUGAGAAAAUGAAAGCCAUUUCAUAUACCAGCAAGAAAGGGUACAAUUACCCUGAACUUUCAAAAGCUUCAACAAGAAACCCUGGAGCAGCAUGUUGAUGGAGUUCACCAGCAGAAACCCAAGGUUAAUCAGCUCUGGAUCCAGUACUAAACACUACUGCAAUCAACAGGGAUUACAAGAGUCUCAUUGAAGAGAAAGACAAUACAAAUCACCAAGGAGAGAGGAAGGAAAGGAAAAGAGGUAUUUUAAAACAAUUAGGUGAAAUACUUGAAAAGUGUAGUGUUUUUAUAAAAUGUUUUAAAAUAUUAUUCUUAAUGGUGGCAAGACAAAAAUGAUCAAAAUAUGGCACUUAAAAGUAAUGAAAUUUAAAAAUAAAAUCCAUGAAAAUACUGUGAGAUGUACACCCAUGUUUUCUAGCUAAAAAAUAAAAGUUAAACCACAAUGAUUAAAAUUAAGUGGCUACUACUUAAAAAAGAGUUUGAGUAACAGAAUUUAUUCCUAGAGGCCAUCCUAAGAAGAUUUCUCAGUUUUUGUCACUGACUGUAUACAUUCUGCUAUUCUUAAAAAAAAAAAAAGUAUUAGCCUUGCCUUUCCCACUAUUUUUUCUAAGUAAAAGAAGAAAUAUUAUUUGGUUUGAGUUUUAAUGUUGAAAACAUCUAUACAAAUAUUUUUGAAAGUACCAACAAAGAGAUACAUGAAGCUAUCAGACUAUUAACUGGCAAAAUAAUCUAUUCCUUAUAACCUCCUGAUCCAAGAGCACAGAGAUAAUGAAAUUCUCACCCCCCCACUUUUUGUAAAUAUCUUUUAUGGAUGACCUCUAAUGGAAGAAUGACUCUUUCCUGAACAAACUAGAAGAAAAGAUUCAUUUUGAUGUGAGGACAAUUUGCAAUCUAUUUUUAAGGUAAUAUCCUAAAGUGUUGUAACUUUUUAAUUAUCCAGAUAGUGGAUGGUGAUUUGUAGAGCUGUCUGGUUUAACCAUUUGAUCUUUUAAAGUCCAUUAUCUGUUAAAAAGAGAUCACUGAAAAGAGAAAGGUGAAAAAAUAACCAUGAUUAUAGUCAACAGCAAAAUUUACCGUGGUUUGUGAACUAAGGA